RNAcentral lists this ribosomal RNA (484 nucleotides) under uncultured bacterium. Its description in RNAcentral is "partial 16S ribosomal RNA". It matches the Rfam family "Bacterial small subunit ribosomal RNA", at positions 29 to 507 of the family's 1533-position model. The record is from RNAcentral.
AGUGAACGCUGGCGGCAGGCCUAACACAUGCCAGUCGAGCGGCAGCGCGGGGGCAACCCUGGCGGCGAGCGGCGGACGGGUGAGGAAUUCGUCGGAAUCUGCCUUCUUGUGGGGGAUAACGUAGGGAAACUUACGCUAAUACCGCAUACGUCCUACGGGAGAAAGUGGGGGACCGCAAGGCCUCACGCAGAAAGAUGAGCCGACGACCGAUUAGCUAGUUGGUGGGGUAAAGGCCCACCAAGGCGACGAUCGGUAGCUGGUCUGAGAGGAUGAUCAGCCACACUGGGACUGAGACACGGCCCAGAGUCCUACGGGAGGCAGCAGUGGGGAAUAUUGGACAAUGGGCGCAAGCCUGAUCCAGCCAUGCCGCGUGUGUGAAGAAGGCCUUCGGGUUGUAAAGCACUUUUGUCCGGAAAGAAAUCCCUGGAGCUAAUACCUUCGGGGGAUGACGGUACCGGAAGAAUAAGCACCGGCUAACUUCGUG